CUGAAGAGCAAGCGAGUGGGAAGGUUCAGAGCAGAACCAAAGCACCCCAGCAUCCAAAAUGCAAUGCACAAAGCAACACAGGUUGCUGCCAGGCCCAUAAGGCACCCAGCACCUGAGAAAGCAUCUCUAGGAGGAUGAAAAAUGGGGCCAGAGCAGCUCCAAGCCAGCAGGACAAUGCAUGGGGGGCGGGAGGCGAGCGCAGCUCUCGGGAUCCAUCUCGCCCGCCCCGGUUCCAAACCCCACGGCCUCAUCCAUGCGGCACUCCUGAGUUAUUCCAGUCCGGGGUCCCUCCGAGCCGCCCAGAGCAUCGCAACAGGAAAGAAAGAAAGCACGAGAGGGAGAGCGAGGCAGAGUCCUCACAAUCGAGCAGCGAGAAGAGCAAGGAGGAAUUAACAUCCAAUUAGCGCCGUGUUUAACGAGGGAGACAGAGGCGGCUGUUGUUUUAUUGCCCUGUUCUUUUCAGGCACGUCUGACAGGCAGCGGGGAAGGCACCCCAGCUCCAAGUGACGUCACCAUAUUUUAUUUUGUUAUAUGUUUUCUGUUUUGUUUUUCUCCUUUUCCCCCCCUUCUUUCCUCUUCCAAGUUGCAAGGCGAGGUCUCGGCAGCGUGGCCAGGGCGACGCGGGGCUUCGGGCCGACGGCUCCGGCCUCCAUCCCCCCCCCCAUCCCCAGCAAAACAAGCACCGACCCCGGCCCGAAGUCUUUGUUCUUCCGAACGAUUAAAAAAAAAGAAAAAAAAGAAAAAAAAGAAAAUAAACAUUCAGGUCGACCCGGAGGGAGCCCGGAGGAGGGUCCUGCGCUCGGCCCGUCCCUGCGUCCAUCUCGCUGCCGUUCCUCUCCCCAGCCCGGCUCUCUCGGCUUGUAAAACUUUGCUGCAUGUGACGCUGCUCCCAACCUCCUUUGGCAGAGUGACAAGAACGGCGCUGCCGGGAUCGGAGAGCGCAGGCGGCUUUUAAGGAAGAAACUCAAUUCGCCCAGAUUACAGAAUUAGGGAUGUUUUAAUCAAGGGACCGCGUGGGGCUGCCAGCGGGCGGCCGGG
Molecule: long non-coding RNA, 1038 nt
Filed under: Gallus gallus (chicken)
Lineage: Eukaryota; Metazoa; Chordata; Aves; Galliformes; Phasianidae
Description: lncRNA (ENSGALG00010027836.1)
Source: RNAcentral